GUGCCAGCCGCCGCGGUAAUACGGAGGGUGCAAGCGUUAAUCGGAAUUACUGGGCGUAAAGCGUGCGCAGGCGGCUGAUUAAGUCAAAUGUGAAAGCCCCGGGCUUAACCUGGGAAUGGCAUUCGAUACUGGUCAGCUAGAGUUUGGUAGAGGUAAGCGGAAUUCCGGGUGUAGCGGUGAAAUGCGUAGAUAUCCGGAGGAACAUCAGUGGCGAAGGCGGCUUACUGGACCAAAACUGACGCUCAGGCACGAAAGCGUGGGUAGCAAACAGGAUUAGAUACCCCGGUAGUCC
Molecule: ribosomal RNA, 292 nt
Filed under: uncultured bacterium
Lineage: Bacteria
Description: partial 16S ribosomal RNA
Rfam family: Bacterial small subunit ribosomal RNA
Source: RNAcentral